This is a long non-coding RNA of Triticum dicoccoides, 4075 nucleotides long. RefSeq lists it as uncharacterized. The record is from RefSeq and is a predicted model, not a curated record. NCBI's taxonomy places the organism in Eukaryota, Viridiplantae, Streptophyta, Magnoliopsida, Poales, Poaceae. The transcript has 9 exons.
CCCACCUCCUUCCGCUGGAGGCAGCCGUCGCGGGCGAGCGAGCGACGGCGGCAGCCGGAGCGAGGGAGUCCGCGGCGCCGUGACGGGUCGCUCCUCCGACCCACGCGCUGACGCCGGCUGGCCGUCCGCUCCUCCGCCGACUGGCUAUGCACACCGACCCGCACCGAUACGAGCUGGGUAAAAUCCCACCCACCGCCCAGUUCCCACCAGCGAAUGGCCUCCGCCCCUGCUUUUAGCGCGCCGCCGCCGGCCUCCCACCACACGCGCCGCCACCAUGCUACCGUCACACAAGCCGCCACCGGCCUCCCGCAAGACUCUCCGCCGCCGGCCCCCGCUUCCACCCGCCAUCAGCCACCUUCAAGGGACACCCAGUCACCUUCACCGCCGCCACGAGCGACGCGCCUCCUCCCAUGGAUUCGGUCGCCACCCUGCGCCUCCUACUGGCGACGAGCCCAGUCCUCCUGCCUUCUUCCAGCAACACGCGCCGUUCAACGCCACCACCACUACCAGUUCAACACUGCCCCGACAAAUCCUGUGCGUCAACCCCCUGGCUGACUUUGUUUCUCUCAACUUCAAGAAGAGGUUCAAUUCAGAAGUUUGAACAAGAAAAAUAGGUUCAUUUCAGAACUUGCGUGUGGUGUAUGUACUGCUGCUAACCUUGUUUUGCUUCUUUACAAAGCCUCUAGGAAUAUUAGUACUGAAUUGUUUCUGUCAGCUCCAGCGGGCAAGUGGCCCUGCACAACAACAUGCAGCGAUUCAACAGGGGAGUGUGGGUCAGUACCACGCCGACAAGUCAAGUAGACGUCCUUUGCAUCACGAACUGGUGCAGUUCGAUCUUGCGCAAGCAGGAAAUUCCCUAGUGCCGAGUGUGUCAGUACCACCCUACACAGCAGCAAACAUUGUCUUCUUGCAGCUUCCAUUGAACAAUUAAUCCAAGGAAUUUUGGGUGGAGCAACAUUUGUCGGUCUUAGGAAUCUCGGUCAUUAUUCACCACCAGCCAUGGUGAUGGUCAUUGCUGCUCUUUCCAUCGCAUGGGAGCCGGUUGUUGCUGCCCUUCAAUAUCUCUAUUUCUGAACUAUUGUUGCUUGCUAUCUCACCCCUCUCAAAAUUGUUCGAUGAUUCGUGUACAGAGAAAUUAAAUACCUUUUUUGUGUUUCUUUUUUAAGUCAUUAUAUGCUCUCGAAAUGUUUAUGUUUAUGCCUCAAGAGAGAGAGAGAGAGAGAGAGAGAGAGAGAGAGAGAAAACCAGUACGUGUGUCUCACACUCUGUUACAUAACAUUUUAAUUAUCUUUGCCACAAAGCUUCAUUUAUCCAGAGAAGUUCAAAGUAAAGAUUAAUUCACACUUUAGGUUUUUCUCCUUUUGUCUAUUUGUUCAGUUCUGACUCCUUCGGUUUUGGUUGCAGAGAAAGUUCAAAGUUCAUGCUCCUUUGUUUUUUGUCAAGUCAGGCAGAGUCAGGUUUUGCUUGGGCAUCAUCUCAUCUCGUCCGUUCAGCAAAAGCCUCCAGAUAAGUUUACACUUGUGGUUUUGCUCGUUGGUUUAAUUCUUUAGUCCACACUCCUUGGGUUUUUGAUCUAGAGAAGUUAAAGAAAACCUGUAGAGGUUUGUGGUAAGUUAUGUUUCAUUUGAAGCAGGAACAUCAACUGCCACACCGAUUGAGUUAUGUAUAAUUCGAAACCCUGCCGGGCACGCCGCCGUCGGCCCCCUGCCCCAGCAAGCCGCCUCCACAACCUCCCUCCCUCAGUGCGGCGCCACCUAGCCCCUGCCUCUGAGCGCCACCACCUACCUCCGAGCACCGCCGGUCUUCGCGCACAACUGUCCCACUGCUGCCUCGCGCGCCAACUCUGUCCUGAGGCUAGCCACGGUGGUGGAUCACCGAGGGAUGGCCGGUCCUUGCCACCGGCGGCCGCACUCCCGAUGUGUCCCGUGCGAUUCCGUCAAUAGAGGCUUGCUCCCAUCACCAUCCUCCUUCCAGAGUACAAUGGCAAUGGUGACAACGUCUAGUAGGUCCUCAUGUGCCUCUGCUCGCCCUGCCUUCACCAUCGGCCAGCCGUGAAAAUCCCUCUAAAAAAGUUUAGGUAAAAUGUGGAUCCCUGUACAAAGUUCAGUUAAGUUCAGUACAAAAAGUUCAACUAAUUUCUGGUGAUGUUUAAGCUAAGUUCAGUGGAAAAUUCAAGCUCAGUUCAAUCAAAAAAAUCAAGUCAAAAAUUGCAUGAAGCCCCCGCUGCUUGCGUUGGUGCGCUGCUGCUGUUUGUUGCUGCAGCAGGGUGAUCUGAGUUGAGAGAGAGAGAGAGAGAGAGAUAAUAAAAUGGAAUGAUCUUCCACAUUGCCUAACUCGUGGCACAAUUAGUUAAUUUCUUGAUUUAGUCCAAUUGAAUUCCUAAUUUUGUUUCAGUUCAAUGACUGCUAUCUCUCUUAGUUUUGUCCUCUUUUUAUGUAGCCUCCCAGUUGAAGUUCACCUCCAUGUGCUACUCCAUUCGUAGCUCCCAGCCUACCCUCGAGCAAGUACAUGCCAUGCACGAGAUCAGUUCAACCUGUGCACUUGUUCAACCUCGACGCUUGUGGCAGUCCCACAAGGACGAGUGUGGUCUACGAUCGAGCAGUUGGUUCCCAAGCGAGUUCCUGGCUAAAGGUGGGCUUCCACGUUGAGGUGUGGAACGCAAUGUACAUGGAGAUCCUGAUGUAGUAUGAUGAUGGCGAUGUGGCGCGGGUGGACCUCAUGGAGUUCGGCUGGGCUGGCGACGGUCAGCGGUGGACGCAGGUCCAUGAGUUGUGGGGCUCCAUCUGCCGCUCGACCACCGCUUACUCCCACUCUGUUCACUGGUUUUGUUUUCACUCUCACGCCUGUUCCUCGUCGAUCUGUAGCAGCAGGAGACACGAGAUCACCUCCGGCACCACUGGUCACAUGAAGGCUGUCAAAAAAUGAAGAUGGUGAACUGUGGGAGUACUUCCCUUGCUCUUUCUUCUACAUCAAGGUCAAAAAAGCCCUUCAUCUGCAUCCAUCUGCGGCAGGAACACUGCUUUGACAUCAGGAACUCUCACGAGGGAGAUUGGACUAACUGCAAGAAAAAAAGCUCAGUUCUACAGACAGCCCCCACCGCCCACAUGGAUUACUUCCUCCGGUCCUCAUCCAGCGGCCAAAUCCCGACACACCUGAUAGUUGAAACUUACACAUGGCCUGCGACCAACUGCGCCGCCUCUAGAAGCUCCUUGGGAAUGACUUGGUAGUAGCUGGGAUCCCCUUACAGCGGCAAAAUCCCGGCGCACCCAGCCGCCGCUCGUGAUCCCUGCUCCUUCAGCUCGACUUCGCCGGUGCCGUCAGUCCACAGGAGUAGGAGCGUCAUGCCCGGCAACAAACAAGAACAGAAGGAACUGCACGCUAUAUAUAGAAUUUCUACAGAAACUGCUGCACAUACAUGACUUAUGAGGCUACCAGAGGCUACUACACCUCCAGAUUAAUGACAGCCUGCAACUUACUUGCUUCCAACACACUAGUAACACAUUCUAAGGUUCGUAAUCGGCUACUUAAUAGCGCGGUUGCUAUUAUGUGAGUAAAGGUCCUCAUUUUGUUGAUGGUGGCAUCUUACAAAGAAAAGUGCGCCGCCCCGCCCGCAAUGUCGUUGUUGCUUGCUAGCUGCUGGUGGUUCGUGUGCCCUGGUCGCUGCUGCUAUAGGGUAAGGAAGUUCGAGAUGGGAACACUUGUUUCAAAUGCUCUCCUCCCAUUCGCAAUGCUGCCAACAAGGAAAACCUCUGGGAAGCUCUGCUGUACAAACACAUCAGCAUAGUGAGUAAGGAUGUGGCACCUUGGGGAAUAAUGCCUACAAAGCAAGCCCAGGAUGACGACGCUGAUCACUAGCAUGAAGGAUACCAAGCAGGCUAAGGAUGAAGUAUCCGAUGAAGGCAAUGAGGAUAAUGAAAACAUGCAAUCCAUAAACAUAGCAGCAGCUGCAAGUUCUUCUGUGUAUGAUAAUAUGAUUGCUACUUUUUAAAAGAAAGUGUAUAUGAUAGUUUGAUGUUUCUACAAGAAAGGAAAAAAAUGGUUUGAAUUAAAAACAUUGAUCAGUAUGAAUAAAAAA